Long non-coding RNA from Cicer arietinum (chickpea), 1255 nucleotides. RefSeq lists it as uncharacterized. NCBI's taxonomy places the organism in Eukaryota, Viridiplantae, Streptophyta, Magnoliopsida, Fabales, Fabaceae. The record is from RefSeq and is a predicted model, not a curated record.
AGUAAAAUGAAGGAUGAAAGAGAAAGAGUAAACAAAAUAAUUAGAAACCUCUGCCAAUUAAUCAAAAAAUUAGAAAAACACGGGCCAACCUAUUCUUUAUCCUUCUGCGUGAGCUUCAUCCUUCACCCUUCAGCGCUUUCAUCCUUCAACUUUCAGCCUUCAUCCUUCAAUGCAAACUCAUCAUUCAUCCUUCGACACAAAUCAGAUGAACAUCAUCCUUCAACGCGAACUCAUAUGAACUUCAGCUUUUAGUCUUCCUAAAUUUUGUUUUCACUCCCUUGUUGACAAUCAACAAGUAAAUUUUGUUUUCCUCUAAAUUAUGUUUUCACUCCCUCCUUCACAAUCAACACAUAAAUUUGUAUUUUCCUAAAUUUUGUUUUCCCCUAAAUUCUGUUUUCACUCACGCACGAACUCUGUAGCCUUUAGUGUUGGCGACGAAUUGGUCCAGCACAACGUUUUUCUACUUCUGCACUGACGACGAAUUUUCUUUAUCUUCCUCUGCCAUUUGUCGAGAAGCGUUUUUGUCGAGAAGUGUCAAUUUCUUUCACCAUCAAGAAGUGUGUGAGCAAGUGUUUGUUGCUUUCUCCGAUAAUUUUCUAAUAAUUCUUAUUUCUUACUUAGCAAUCUAAAAUUGUUUCAUUGUUAAUUGUUCUUAUUAUUAAUCUUAGAUUACCAAUUGUUUUUAUUAUUAAUCUUUAAUCUAAAGUUGCAGAGGAUGGAAAAAUUACUGACAAUUAUUGGCAGCAAGUGAAUGAGACAAAAGAAGAACAUCAAUCAGCAGAAGAACUACGCGUGAGAAAGCUUUACAGAAUUGAGCUAGUCGGCGUGGUUUUUGAUGACUAUCUUGUAGUUAUUAGAGGCACUAGGUGUAUAUUCUUGUAGAUUCAACUAUAUUAGUAAUUUUUGUUAUGUGAUUUUUUGUUAUGAUAUAAUUAACAUUUUCUACUAGAAUUUUAUUAACAGAAGAGCUAUUAGGACAUGAAGAGCAGUGAGAGUGAAUUCACAAUUAAAAUCUCAUGAAAGAUUUGUUAAUGCAUUUCUAAGAUAUUGCAAACUUGUUGAUAAUGCUAGAGUGUUUUGCACAAAUGGUGUUGGUGUUCCACCAUAGGGUUGACGAGGAACUUGUGGACCAGAAGAGAUAUCUCGAAGACUCUUGCAAACCAUAGUGUGUGAAACCAUUACUUGAAAAUCAAGUGUGAUUUCUUGAAUUGUAUAAUUAUUAGCUUGAUCGUUUGAAGAUGAGCUUUAUUCUUAA